CAGCCGCCACGGUAAUACGAAGGGGGCUAGCGUUGUUCGGAAUUACUGGGCGUAAAGCGCACGUAGGCGGAUAUUUAAGUCAGGGGUGAAAUCCCGCAGCUCAACUGCGGAACUGCCUUUGAUACUGGGUAUCUUGAGUAUGGAAGAGGUUAGUGGAAUUGCGAGUGUAGAGGUGAAAUUCGUAGAUAUUCGCAGGAACACCAGUGGCGAAGGCGGCUAACUGGUCCAUAACUGACGCUGAGGUGCGAAAGCGUGGGGAGCAAACAGGAUUAGAUACCCGGGUAGUCCCUGUCUCUUAUAC
RNAcentral lists this ribosomal RNA (301 nucleotides) under uncultured bacterium. RNAcentral's name for it is "partial 16S ribosomal RNA". It matches the Rfam family "Bacterial small subunit ribosomal RNA", at positions 509 to 807 of the family's 1533-position model. The record is from RNAcentral.